UGUAUCUUCAAUCUCCCCUACAUUAAAAUGGAAACAAUACAGAGAAGAUUAGUAUGGCUUCUGCACAAGGAUGAUACACAAAAUCGUUAAUUGAUAUAAUGUUAA
This 105-nucleotide small nuclear RNA is filed under the name Lepeophtheirus salmonis (salmon louse). Lineage: Eukaryota; Metazoa; Arthropoda; Copepoda; Siphonostomatoida; Caligidae. The record is from RNAcentral.